UACGAAGGGAGCUAGCGUUGUUCGGAAUCACUGGGCGUAAAGCGCACGUAGGCGGAUUUGUCAGUCAGGGGUGAAAUCCCGGGGCUCAACCUCGGAACUGCCUUUGAUACAGCAAGUCUUGAGUUCGAGAGAGGUGGGUGGAAUUCCUAGUGUAGAGGUGAAAUUCGUAGAUAUUAGGAAGAACACCAGUGGCGAAGGCGGCUCACUGGUCCGGUACUGACGCUGAGGCUCGAAAGCAUGGGGAGCAAACAGG
This 253-nucleotide ribosomal RNA is filed under the name uncultured bacterium. Its description in RNAcentral is "partial 16S ribosomal RNA". It matches the Rfam family "Bacterial small subunit ribosomal RNA", at positions 524 to 776 of the family's 1533-position model. The record is from RNAcentral.